RNAcentral lists this ribosomal RNA (301 nucleotides) under uncultured bacterium. RNAcentral's name for it is "partial 16S ribosomal RNA". It matches the Rfam family "Bacterial small subunit ribosomal RNA", at positions 509 to 807 of the family's 1533-position model. The record is from RNAcentral.
CAGUCGCCGCGGGAACACGAAGGGGGCUAGCGUUGCUCGGAAUCACUGGGCGUAAAGGGUGCGUAGGCGGGUCUUUAAGUCAGGGGUGAAAUCCUGGAGCUCAACUCCAGAACUGCCUUUGAUACUGAAGAUCUUGAGUUCGGGAGAGGUGAGUGGAACUGCGAGUGUAGAGGUGAAAUUCGUAGAUAUUCGCAAGAACACCAGUGGCGAUGGCGGCUCACUGGCCCGAUACUGACGCUGAGGCACGAAAGCGUGGGGAGCAAACAGGAUUAGAUACCCCUGUAGUCCCUGUCUCUUAUAC